GCCCAGGACUUCGCCAUACCAGGUAUAUAUGUUAUUGUUAAGGUCUUUCUGUAUGUCUCAUGUCCUUUUUUUGCCUCUAUUUUUUUCCCUUUAGGUUUUGCGGCCCAGGACUUGGCCAUACCAGGUAUAUAUGUUAAUGUUAAGGUCUUUGUGUAAGUUUCAUGUCCCUUUUUUUGCCCUUAUUUUUUUCCUUUAGGUUGUACAGCCCAGGACUUGGCCAUACCAGGUAUAUAUAUUAUUGUUAAGGUCUUUGUGUAUGUUUCAUGUCUUUUUUUUGCCCCUUUUUUUCCCCUUUAGGUUGUGUGGCCCAGGACUUGGCCAUACCAGGUAUAUAUGUUAUUGUUAAGGUCUUUGUGUAUAUGUCUUGUCCUUUUUUUGUCCUUUAUUUUUUCCUUUAGGUUGUGCGGCCCAGGACUUGGCCAUACCAGGUAUAUAUGUUAUUGUUAAGGUCUUUGUGUAUAUGUCUUGUCCUUUUUUUUCCUUUAGGUUGUUUGGCCCAGGACUUGGCCAUACCAGGUAUAUAUGUUAUUGUUAAGGUCUUUGUGUAUAUGUCUUGUCCUUUUUUUGUCCUUAUUUUUUUCCUUUAGGAUGUACGGCCCAGGACUUCGCCAUACCAGGUAUAUAUGUUAUUGUUAAGGUCUUUGUGUAAGUUUCAUGUCCUUUUUUUGCCCCUAUUUUUUUCCUUUAGGUUGUACAGCCCAGGACUUGGCCAUACCAGGUAUAUAUGUUAUUGUUAAGGUCUUUGUGCAUUUCUCAUGUCUUUUUGCCCCUAUUUUUUUUUCUUUAGGUUGUGCAGCCCAGGACUUGGCCAUACCAGAUAUAUAUGUUAUUGUUAAGGUCUUUGUGUGUGUCUCAUGUUCUUUUUUUGCCCCUAUUUUUUUCCUUUAGGUUGUGCGGCCCAGGAAUUGGCCAUACCAGGUAUAUGUGUUAUUGUUAAGGUCUUUGUGUAAGUUUCAUGUCAUUUUUUUGCCCCUAUUUUUUUCCUUUAGGUUGUACAGCCCAGGACUUGGCCAUACGAGGUAUAUAUGUUAUUGUUAAGGUCUUUGUGUGUGUUUCAUGUCUUUUAUUUGCCCCUUUUCUUUUCCUUUAGGUUGUGCAGCCCAGGACUUGGCCAUACCAGGUAUAUAUGUUAUUAUUAAGGUCUUUGUGUAAGUCUCAUGUCCUUUUUUUGCCCCUAUUUUUUUUCCUUUAGGUUGUGCAGCCCAGGACUUGGCCAUACCAGGUAUAUAUGUUAUUG
RNAcentral lists this long non-coding RNA (1237 nucleotides) under Mytilus galloprovincialis (Mediterranean mussel). The record is from RNAcentral. Lineage: Eukaryota; Metazoa; Mollusca; Bivalvia; Mytilida; Mytilidae.